AACGUAGGAGGCGAGCGUUAUCCGGAAUUACUGGGCGUAAAGGGCAUGCAGGCGGCUUGGUAAGUUGGACGUGAAAGCUCCUGGCUUAACUGGGAGAGUGCGUUCGAAACUGCUGAGCUUGAGGCUGGGAGAGGGGUGUGGAAUUCCCGGUGUAGUGGUGGAAUGCGUAGAUAUCGGGAGGAACACCAGUGGCGGAAGCGGCACCCUAGACCAGACCUGACGCUGAUAUGCGAAAGCGUGGGGAGCAAACAGGAUUAGAUACCCUGGUAGUCCACGCCGUAAACGAUGUCAACUAGGUGUUGGUAGCUAUACGCUAUCGGUGCCGAAGCAAACGCGUUAAGUUGACCGCCUGGGGACUACGGCCGCAAGGCUAAA
Molecule: ribosomal RNA, 375 nt
Filed under: uncultured bacterium
Lineage: Bacteria
Description: bacterial SSU rRNA
Rfam family: Bacterial small subunit ribosomal RNA
Source: RNAcentral